RNAcentral lists this non-coding RNA (372 nucleotides) under Schistosoma curassoni. Its description in RNAcentral is "Eukaryotic large subunit ribosomal RNA". It matches the Rfam family "Eukaryotic large subunit ribosomal RNA", at positions 2825 to 3183 of the family's 3401-position model. The record is from Rfam by way of RNAcentral. Lineage: Eukaryota; Metazoa; Platyhelminthes; Trematoda; Strigeidida; Schistosomatidae.
CCAUUUAAAGAUAGACCGUGGUCAGUUUUUCUAGGCAAAAGACCUUCGAUAUAGGCUCUUCCAAUCACUGUGAAGCAGAAUUCACCAAGUGUUGGUUCGUUCACCCACUAAUUGGGAACAUGAGCUGGGCUUAGACCGUCAUGAGACAGGUUAGUUUUACCUUAAUAAUGAGUACAUCAAUGAAGUACAGUCUGUCCGUUGCUAUGGUAAUCCUGUUUAGUAUGAGAGGAACCGCAGGUUCAGAUAAUUGGUAUAUCUACCUGGUCGAAAGGUCAAUGGCGCGAAGCUGCCAUCUGAGGGAUCAAGACCGAACACCUCUAAGUCUGAAUGCCGUCCAUAUUUGCAAAGGUGCACAUAUCCGGAAAGCUCAGA